CAGUUAAAUAAUCGAUUCGUCGAAGAUAAACAAAUUUUUUUUUGUCAAAGAAUGUUGUCCACAAGAGAAGUACUAAGAUGUUCGUUUAAUAUUAUCACUGAUUUUACACAUAUGAGGACUGAACAGCAUAAUGAUUUAUUACUUUGACUUUCCAUUGGAUGGCAUGUGGCACUACUACUUUUCAAGAACCAUUCAUGAAAUUCCUAGAUACAUUGUAUUGUUUAUACCCCAUAAUUUGCGAAUUCCAAUUUCUUGCUUCAUACCGUUUACCAGACAGCCUGUCGCUUACAUUUUAAUAUUUUUUUAAUGUUUAGUAAUUUCUGUGUUAAUUAGCUAUAUCAAAAUUAAAAAUAAGGACAAUCAAAAUUUUACACUUACCUUAUUUUUUAUCACGUAUAUUUUCGCAUCCAAAUUGCAUGUAUGUGCUUCAUUUUAUUUCAUGUUUUUAAAAACGAACAGGUGAUCAAUGCGAUAGUAAUUCACGUAGACAGAAUCUUUUUCUUGAUCUAAGUUUUACCGAUGCCAUUUUUGAGAAUCGUUAUUAUCUGAGAAUCGUUUCUUCUUUUACAUUCAAAAAUGCGAUUAAAUGGUUGAAAAAUCAACUUGUUUUAAAUUAUUUUAUCGAUUUUUUUAAUUGUGACAGAAAUCAAUAAGGAUAGUUUCAAAUGAGGAUGAAACACAAGAAUAUACCGAUCCUUUCGUUAGAUGCGAAAGUUCGAUAUUCGGAAUUGCCAUCUUAAUCAAGAGUGGCAGUGAUCGCAGACGCACGGUCAGACUAUGACCAGUAUUCAUAGUCGGAUCUUAUAUUUAAGAUCAUUUUAAGUACUGUCUUAAGAUGCCAUCAGCCAGUUACAGAGCUGUAUUAGCAUCUCAAGAUAUUGCUUGAGACGAUCUUGAAAUAAGAUUCGACUAUGAAUACCAGCCUAAGUGAGUUCGUUCUCGACUUGUUCUUUUUUCUACGAUUCGCCGGCAGUUAUUGCUAUCUUCAUUCCAGAAUAUUCCUUCGAGGUUACAAAUUCGCAUGAGUAAUCCAUAUCGGGGCUGGAAAGGAAGGUUCGUGAGGGAAGUUUUAUUCCCCUCAUGCUGCUCCGUUUUAUUCCAUAACAUAUGGUGUCUUUUCUUCUUUUUGCAGCAAGGGAACACGCCCGUACGUUAACAAAAUAUAAUAUAAGAAAUAAGAUGACAAACUGCAAUAAUUUAGCUACAUCGUGCCGAUAUAAGCAUAUUCUAGUAAUAUAGUAAUAUUGCCACACUGUUGAGCGUGAAUAACACUUUGUAUUGCAGUUCGGAAAAAUUCUUUUAGUGAUAAACCUAUCACAAUUUAGCACAACAGUCACAACAUGUUAAUUUAAAAAAAUGGAAACUUCUAGGCGUUUUUAGAAAGGAAAAGGAAGGAGUAAUAAAAAAAACACUUUAAAUCAAAGUGACAUCUAUAAAAAUUAAUAUAGUCCCAUUCGUUUCAUUACUUGUACUAAUGAGCCGUUAAAAAAUAGUAUUUUGUUAUUUAUAAAUUCGUUAUGUCACAUUAUAGAAAAAAGUAAUAAUUUUUAAUUUUUACUGAAAUAACUUCGUCAACAAGCGACAAUGGUAACUUAAACGCGUUGCUUUUACGUUACCACUCACAAUAUACUUUAUUCUGCAAGAGUCUAUUGUGUGACCGAUUCUUUUGUCGAAAAAUAAUCGCCUAUUAAAUAAUCAACUCAAUGUCAAAAGAAAUUCAGCAGAUGUUUCUUUUUUACAUAAUAGCAUUCAUAACAGAAGUCUUAAAGUGAAAGUUACACAAACAUAUUAUUUGCUUUUUCAUAUAUUCAGAUGUUUCAUAUCCAUAUGUAUACUUGUAACUCACAUACGGUUGAGGAAUAAAAUGUUUUAUUAGAAGUAUUAUAUUCAAAAAGAGAAAGAGAGAGAGAAAGAGAGAGAGACAGAGUAUACAAUAAUUAGAUUAUAUAACUAUUCUGUAUUGUACAUUCCUAUUUUUACAAAAAUAUAUAAUUUUGUCUUCUUACUAAAUUAAGUAAUGUUUUUUUUUACAUAUAUGAACAUUAAACACACGAUUAAAAAAUAAAAAUAAAA
This 2073-nucleotide long non-coding RNA is filed under the name Monomorium pharaonis (pharaoh ant). Its description in RNAcentral is "uncharacterized LOC114254099". The record is from RNAcentral. Lineage: Eukaryota; Metazoa; Arthropoda; Insecta; Hymenoptera; Formicidae.